GAGACUGACCGGUGACGAAACCGGAGGAAGGUGGGGAUGACGUCAAGUCCUCAUUGGCCCUUAUGGGUAGGGCUUCACACGUCAUACAAUGGUCGGUACAGAGGGUUGCCAAGCCGCGAGGUGGAGCCAAUCCCUUAAAGCCGAUCGUAGUCCGGAUCGUAGUCUGCAACUCGACUACGUGAAGUCGGAAUCGCUAGUAAUCGCAGAUCAGCAUGCUGCGGUGAAUACGUUCCCGGGUCGUU
RNAcentral lists this ribosomal RNA (242 nucleotides) under uncultured Thauera sp. Its description in RNAcentral is "partial 16S ribosomal RNA". It matches the Rfam family "Bacterial small subunit ribosomal RNA", at positions 1145 to 1382 of the family's 1533-position model. The record is from RNAcentral. Lineage: Bacteria; Pseudomonadati; Pseudomonadota; Betaproteobacteria; Rhodocyclales; Zoogloeaceae.